UACGAAGGGGCUAGCGUUGUUCGGAUUAACUGGGCGUAAAGCGCGCGUAGGCGGGUUUUAAGUCAGGGGUGAAAUCCCAAGGCUCAACCUUGGAACUGCCUUGAUACUGGAAAUCUUGAGUCCGGGAGAGGUGAGUGGAACUGCGAGUGUAGAGGUGAAAUUCGUAGAUAUUCGCAAGAACACCAGUGGCGAAGGCGGCUCACUGGCCCGGUACUGACGCUGAGGUGCGAAAGCGUGGGAGCAAACAGG
RNAcentral lists this ribosomal RNA (249 nucleotides) under uncultured bacterium. Its description in RNAcentral is "partial 16S ribosomal RNA". It matches the Rfam family "Bacterial small subunit ribosomal RNA", at positions 524 to 776 of the family's 1533-position model. The record is from RNAcentral.